RNAcentral lists this non-coding RNA (31 nucleotides) under Rattus norvegicus (Norway rat). Lineage: Eukaryota; Metazoa; Chordata; Mammalia; Rodentia; Muridae. The record is from RNAcentral.
UGGCCUCUGACCUUGGCAUUAGCCAGCCAGC